Molecule: ribosomal RNA, 227 nt
Filed under: uncultured bacterium
Lineage: Bacteria
Description: partial 16S ribosomal RNA
Rfam family: Bacterial small subunit ribosomal RNA
Source: RNAcentral
UACGUAAGAGACUAGUGUUAUUCAUCAUAAUUAGGUUUAAAGGGUACCUAGACGGUUAAAAUAGCAUGUUAAAUGUAAAUGUAACUACUUGACUAGAGUUUUAUGGAAGAGGGCAGAACUUGCGGAGGAGAGAUAAAAUUUCGUAAUACCAAAAGGACUGGUAAAGGUGAAGACAGCCCUUUAUUUAAAAACUGACGUGAGGGACGAAGGCAUAGGUAACAAAAAGG